Molecule: ribosomal RNA, 1491 nt
Filed under: marine eukaryotic metagenome
Description: Bacterial small subunit ribosomal RNA
Rfam family: Bacterial small subunit ribosomal RNA
Source: RNAcentral
AUGGAGAGUUUGAUCCUGGCUCAGGACGAACGCUAGCGGGGGGCUUAACACAUGCAAGUCGAACGCGAACGUAGAUCUUCGGAUCUAUUAGUAGAGUGGCGAACGGGUGAGUAACACGUAGGUUACCUGCCCACCGGUGGGGGAUAACACCUCGAAAGAGGUGCUAAUACCGCAUGAUAUCUUUGGAUCAAAGGCUUCGGCCGCCGGUGGAUGGGCCUGCGCCCUGUUAGCUUGUUGGUGAGGUAACGGCUCACCAAGGCGACGAUGGGUAGCCGGUCUGAGAGGAUGAUCGGCCACACUGGGACUGAGAUACGGCCCAGACUCCUACGGGAGGCAGCAGUGAGGAAUAUUGCACAAUGGACGAAAGUCUGAUGCAGCCACCCCGCGUGUGGGAUGAAGUUCUUGCGAACGUAAACCACCGUUAGGGAAGACGAUAAUGACGGUAUUUCCAGCGAAAGCACCGGCUAACUCCGUGCCAGCAGCCGCGGUAAUACGGGGGGUGCAAGCGUUGUCCGGAAUCACUGGGCGUAAAGGGCGCGUAGGCGGGAUUACAAGUCUGGGGUGAAAGUUCGAGGCUCAACCUCGAAUCUGCCUUAGAAACUGUAGUUCUUGAGUUCGGUAGAGGGGUACGGAAUUCCUGGUGUAGCGGUGGAAUGCGUAGAUAUCAGGAAGAACACCGGUGGCGAAGGCGGUACCCUGGCCCGAUACUGACGCUGAGGCGCGAAAGCGUGGGGAGCGAACAGGAUUAGAUACCCUGGUAGUCCACGCCCUAAACGAUGAUCACUAGAUGCUGGGAGAUUCGACCCUUUCAGUGUCGUAGCUAACGCGUUAAGUGAUCCGCCUGGGGAGUACGGCCGCAAGGUUGAAACUCAAAGGAAUUGACGGGGGCCCGCACAAGCGGUGGAGCAUGUGGUUUAAUUCGAUGCAACGCGAAGAACCUUACCUGGGCUUGAACUGUGCCGGAAAACUUCUGAAAGGGAGUCCUCCUUCGGGACCUGUACAGAGGUGCUGCAUGGCUGUCGUCAGCUCGUGUCGUGAGAUGUUGGGUUAAGUCCCGCAACGAGCGCAACCCCUAUCGUCAGUUGCCAUCAGGUUAUGCUGGGCACUCUGGCGAGACUGCCCGCGUUAAGCGGGAGGAAGGUGGGGAUGACGUCAAGUCCUCAUGGCCCUUACGUCCAGGGCUACACACGUGCUACAAUGGGUGGUACAAAGGGUCGCCAAGCCGCGAGGCUGAGCCAAUCCCAUAAAACCAUCCUCAGUUCGGAUUGCACUCUGCAACUCGAGUGCAUGAAGCCGGAAUCGCUAGUAAACGUGGAUCAGCACGCCACGUUGAAUACGUUCCCGGGCCUUGUACACACCGCCCGUCACACCAUGGAAGUCGGGAGUACCCGAAGCCGGUCCAUCAAUAGGGCUGUCGAAGGUAAGCUCGAUGACUAGGGUGAAGUCGUAACAAGGUAGCCGUACGGGAACGUGCGGCUGGAUCACCUCCUU